AUUGAACGCUGGCGGCAGGCCUAACACAUGCAAGUCGAGCGGAUGAAGGGAGCUUGCUCCUGGAUUCAGCGGCGGACGGGUGAGUAAUGCCUAGGAAUCUGCCUGGUCGUGGGGGAUAACGUCCGGUAACGGGCGCUAAUCCCGCAUACGUCCUGAGGGAGAAAGUGGGGGAUCUUCGGACCACACGCUAUCAGAUGAGCCUAGGUCGGAUUAGCUAGUUGGUGUGGUAAAGGCCUACCAAGGCGACGAUCCGUAACCGGUCUGAGAGGAUGAUCAGUCACACUGGAACUGAGACACGGUCCAGACUCCUACGGGAGGCAGCAGUGGGGAAUAUUGGACAAUGGGCGAAAGCCUGAUGCAGCCAUGCCGCGUGUGUGAAGAAGGUCUUCGGAUUGUAAAGCACUUUAAGUUGGGAGGAAGGGCAGUAAGUUAAUACCUUGCUGCUUUGACGUUACCAACAGAAUAAGCACCGGCUAACUUCGUG
Molecule: ribosomal RNA, 484 nt
Filed under: uncultured bacterium
Lineage: Bacteria
Description: partial 16S ribosomal RNA
Rfam family: Bacterial small subunit ribosomal RNA
Source: RNAcentral